Molecule: ribosomal RNA, 25 nt
Filed under: Amanita ceciliae
Lineage: Eukaryota; Fungi; Basidiomycota; Agaricomycetes; Agaricales; Amanitaceae
Also listed under: 1 other name
Description: partial 28S ribosomal RNA
Source: RNAcentral
CUUUGACCUCAAAUCAGGUAGGACU